AGCAGCCGCGGUAAUUCCAGCUCCAAUAGCGUAUAUUAAAGUUGUUGCAGUUAAAAAGCUCGUAGUUGAAUUUCGGAAUCUGUCCGUCGGUCGGGCUUCACUGUCCGUACUGGUGUGAUGGGUUUCUACCUUCUGAAUAACCGGCAUGUCAUUAAUUUGGUGCGCCGGGGAAGCAGAACUAUUACCUUGAAAAAAUUAGAGUGCUUAAAGCAGGCUAUCGCCUGAAUAGAUUAGCAUGGAAUAAUAAAAUAGGACGGCAUGGUUCUAUUUUGUUGGUUUCUAGGAUCACCGUAAUGAUUAAUAGGGAUAGUUGGGGGCAUUAGUAUUCAAUUGUCAGAGGUGAAAUUCUUGGAUUUAUUGAAGACUAACUUCUGCGAAAGCAUUUGCCAAGGAUGUUUUCAUUAAUCAAGAACGAAAGUUAGGGGAUCGAAGACGAUCAGAUACCGUCGU
Molecule: ribosomal RNA, 450 nt
Filed under: uncultured Glomeromycotina
Lineage: Eukaryota; Fungi; Glomeromycota
Description: SSU rRNA
Rfam family: Eukaryotic small subunit ribosomal RNA
Source: RNAcentral